Molecule: ribosomal RNA, 305 nt
Filed under: uncultured bacterium
Lineage: Bacteria
Description: bacterial SSU rRNA
Rfam family: Bacterial small subunit ribosomal RNA
Source: RNAcentral
UACGCCUACGGGGGGCAGCAGUGAGGAAUAUUGGUCAAUGGGCGCGAGCCUGAACCAGCCAAGUCGCGUGAGGGAGGACGGCCCUACGGGUUGUAAACCUCUUUUGCCAGGGGACAAAGGCGGCCACGGGUGGCCGUAAGAGGGUACCUGGAGAAAAAGCAUCGGCUAACUCCGUGCCAGCAGCCGCGGUAAUACGGAGGAUGCGAGCGUUAUCCGGAUUUAUUGGGUUUAAAGGGUGCGCAGGCGGCGGGUCAAGUCAGCGGUAAAAUGUCGGGGCUCAACCCCGGCCGGCCGUUGAAACUGGG